UUUUUUUUUUUCUUGCCUUCGUCUAAAAGUUAAACAAACAUUGAAUGUGGUAAAAAUGAUGCAUAGUAAUCAAAUUUCAACUGAAAUUUAUGCAAAAAUCUUUGAUUUGUACAUGUCUCCUCUAAACAUCAUUUUUCCUGCAAGCAAGUAAAUUUGAUGCAUUUGCCAUUGAUUCAUUAGUAAUCUUGAAGUCACCCUUAAGAAAUCCUGUGGCAAAUUAAGAAUUCUAACACUGUGAUUCACCUAUAGAUCUCACUUAUGCACUGUAAGCAUAAUUAUGAUGAAGAGCAGAUUUGACAUCAUGGGUUCCAUUUUUUAUUCAUUCAUUUCUCGUGCCUUGGUGUUUAUCAGUAUAGUUAUUAAUCUUAAUAUUUUUCGUCACUAUUUUAACCGUUCAUCAAUACAAAUGAACAUCUGCUGUUGCUGAAGCUGAGCUUACCUUGUGAGGAUUUGUGGCUGGGCAAAGCCUAUUCACAACCCUCCUUUCCAGCACUCCCUUCUAUCUAUGUUUAGUGAGGAGGAGGAUUUUGUAGAAUAUGAUGCCCUAAAAAGAUACUAAUAAUCCUCUGUAGUUGUCCUCUCUUCAGAUUCCUUGCUUCAUAAAAGCAAAUUAAACAGUAAUACUACCCCUUCUACUAUAUUCUCACGCACCCUAAAUAUCCAUGAAGUCGCGGGUAUUCUAAAAAUGAGGAAAGGUCUUAUAUUUAGGAAACAAUUUGCCCAAAUGCACAGAGUUUAAUGAAUAUCCAUCGUUCAAUUCUCUUGGAUGAGUUCUCAGCGAGUUAGUCCAAGCUUGACUUCGUGAAAUGACCAGUAGUUUUUUUUUUUUUUAACUUUCAUUUCAAUACAAUCCAUCUUAGAAAAAUCAAUUGGUAAGACACAAGACAUGUGUUGUAAGCUUACACACUGGUAAUAUUUUUCAUUAUGUAUUUAUUUAUUUAUUUAUUUAUUUUUUUGUGAUAUUCUUUACUGUAGAAGUUGAAGAAGAGGUUGAUUCAUAUAUAUAUAUAUAUAUAUAUAUAUAUAAUUCUCCCUGGAGUUGCUGAACUAAUACUAAUCAGAAACC
RNAcentral lists this long non-coding RNA (1066 nucleotides) under Physcomitrium patens. RNAcentral's name for it is "long non-coding RNA (PPAT_LNC011647)". The record is from RNAcentral. Lineage: Eukaryota; Viridiplantae; Streptophyta; Bryopsida; Funariales; Funariaceae.